RNAcentral lists this transfer RNA (70 nucleotides) under Marmota monax (woodchuck). RNAcentral's name for it is "tRNA.Ala". Lineage: Eukaryota; Metazoa; Chordata; Mammalia; Rodentia; Sciuridae. The record is from RNAcentral.
GUGGUUGUGGCUCAGUGUAGAGAGCAUGCCUAGCAUGUGUGAGACACUGGGUUUGAUUCUCAGCACCACA